This 253-nucleotide ribosomal RNA is filed under the name uncultured bacterium. RNAcentral's name for it is "partial 16S ribosomal RNA". It matches the Rfam family "Bacterial small subunit ribosomal RNA", at positions 524 to 776 of the family's 1533-position model. The record is from RNAcentral.
UACGAAGGGGGCUAGCGUUGUUCGGAUUUACUGGGCGUAAAGGGCGCGUAGGCGGCGUGACAAGUCACUUGUGAAAUCUCCGGGCUUAACUCGGAACGGUCAAGUGAUACUGUCGUGCUAGAGUACAGAAGGGGCAACUGGAAUUCUCGGUGUAGCGGUGAAAUGCGUAGAUAUCGAGAGGAACACCUGCGGCGAAGGCGGGUUGCUGGGCUGAUACUGACGCUGAGGCGCGAAAGCCAGGGGAGCGAACGGG